Molecule: ribosomal RNA, 498 nt
Filed under: uncultured bacterium
Lineage: Bacteria
Description: partial 16S ribosomal RNA
Rfam family: Bacterial small subunit ribosomal RNA
Source: RNAcentral
GACGAACGCUGGCGGCGUGCCUAAUACAUGCAAGUCGAGCGGACGAAUCGAAAGCUUGCUUUUGAUUCGUUAGCGGCGGACGGGUGAGUAACACGUGGGCAACCUGCCCUGUAGACGGGGAUAACACCGAGAAAUCGGUGCUAAUACCGGAUAACACGAAAUGUCGCAUGACGUUUCGUUGAAAGACGGCGCAAGCUGUCGCUACAGGAUGGGCCCGCGGCGCAUUAGCUAGUUGGUGAGGUAACGGCUCACCAAGGCGACGAUGCGUAGCCGACCUGAGAGGGUGAUCGGCCACACUGGGACUGAGACACGGCCCAGACUCCUACGGGAGGCAGCAGUAAGGAAUCUUCCGCAAUGGACGAAAGUCUGACGGGGCAACGCCGCGUGAGCGAAGAAGGCCUUCGGGUCGUAAAGCUCUGUUGUUAGGGAAGAACAAGUAACGCAGUAACUGGCGUUACCGUGACGGUACCUAACGAGAAAGCCACGGCUAACUACGUG